ACCAGUGUGGCCUAGUGGUUUGAGUGUUUGACUCCAGCUUUGAAGACCAGGGUUUGAUUCCCAGCUCCGCCA
Molecule: non-coding RNA, 72 nt
Organism: Phrynosoma platyrhinos (Desert horned lizard)
Lineage: Eukaryota; Metazoa; Chordata; Lepidosauria; Squamata; Phrynosomatidae
Source: the annotation of a GenBank genome assembly